AGGGAUGUAGUUAAUUAUAACAUUUAAUUUGCAAUUAAAAAGUAUCUUUUAGAUCUUCCUUA
Molecule: transfer RNA, 62 nt
Filed under: Apolygus lucorum
Lineage: Eukaryota; Metazoa; Arthropoda; Insecta; Hemiptera; Miridae
Rfam family: tRNA
About the family: Transfer RNA (tRNA) molecules are approximately 80 nucleotides in length. Their secondary structure includes four short double-helical elements and three loops (D, anti-codon, and T loops).
Source: Rfam by way of RNAcentral